UAUUUAUUUAAUUCUGGUUAGUGAAGAAGGUGAAAUAAAUAUACAUAAGGUUUGAUUAGGGAUUGUUCAUCGUAGGUUUAUGUGAUUUCCUUAGUAGUUAAAACUUGUUUAUCGGGGCAACCCGGUUUGGAUUAUUUCAUAUAAAGUGGUUAAUGCUCAGUGCCAGCAUCCGCGGUUAUUCUGUUAGCUUUUUCUUCUUGUUGGUGGAAAUGGUUUGGAGGUUAUGUGAUAAUGCAGGAGUAGAAUCUUAUUGUCUUUGAAAUAAUUUUCUUAGUCGUUGAGAGCUUUCUAUGAUUAAUGAGGAUUAGAUACCCUUUUAUAGGAAGGUAAAGUUUUUUCCUUAGUAAAAACUAAAAGGAUUUGGCAGCUAACGAAGUUCGUCCGGGGGAACGUGUAUCUUAAAAGAUAGUCCGCUUAUUAGUUUACCCUCUUUAUUUAUGUUAGUGUAUAUCCGGUUUUAAAUCCGUAGUUAGUGCUAUAGGGUGUAACAGGUUUGUUUAAGCCAGGUCGAUGUGCUGCUGAUGAGGGGGUGUUUUAUGCGUUACUUUAUUAAAGGGUUUAUCUCGUAGGAGAUAGGAAUGUUUAGGACUCGGAAGUAAGUGAUUGGUGCUUUGUGGUAGAAGGGAGUGCUUUUUGUUGAAGGUGAUUUAGUUGGGGUACACACCGCCCGUCACCCAGGGCGUUAGCCGUGGUAAGUCGUAACAUGGUAACGUUGGGGGAACCGAACGUUAGUUGGUU
RNAcentral lists this ribosomal RNA (738 nucleotides) under Acanthoparyphium sp. WAK-2018. Its description in RNAcentral is "small subunit ribosomal RNA". Lineage: Eukaryota; Metazoa; Platyhelminthes; Trematoda; Plagiorchiida; Himasthlidae. The record is from RNAcentral.